Non-coding RNA from Zea mays, 139 nucleotides. The record is from Rfam. Lineage: Eukaryota; Viridiplantae; Streptophyta; Magnoliopsida; Poales; Poaceae.
CCGCUCGAAGACGACGAACUCGUCGAAUACAUCAUCACCGGUUUGGACCGUGAUUUUACCUCACUUGUCUCUGCCCUCGUUGCAAGGGUGGAGCCAAUCUCAGUUGAAGAAUUAUAUUCUCAGAUGCUGAGUUACGAAA